Molecule: ribosomal RNA, 490 nt
Filed under: uncultured bacterium
Lineage: Bacteria
Description: bacterial SSU rRNA
Rfam family: Bacterial small subunit ribosomal RNA
Source: RNAcentral
AUUGAACGCUGGCGGAAUGCUUUACACAUGCAAGUCGAACGGUAGAGGGGGCAACCCCUUGAGAGUGGCGAACGGGUGAGUAAUAUAUCGGAACGUGCCCAGUCGUGGGGAUAACGUAGCGAAAGUUACGCUAAUACCGCAUACGAUCUAAGGAUGAAAGCGGGGGAUCGCAAGACCUCGCGCGAUUGGAGCGGCCGAUAUCAGAUUAGGUAGUUGGUGAGGUAAAGGCUCACCAAGCCAACGAUCUGUAGCUGGUCUGAGAGGACGACCAGCCACACUGGAACUGAGACACGGUCCAGACUCCUACGGGAGGCAGCAGUGGGGAAUUUUGGACAAUGGACGCAAGUCUGAUCCAGCCAUUCCGCGUGCAGGAUGAAGGCCCUCGGGUUGUAAACUGCUUUUGUACGGAACGAAAGGUUUGUCUUAAUACGAUGAGCUCAUGACGGUACCGUAAGAAUAAGCACCGGCUAACUACGUGCCAGCAGCCGCG